GACGAACGCUGGCGGCGUGCUUAACACAUGCAAGUCGAACGGAAAGGCCCUGCUUUUGUGGGGUGCUCGAGUGGCGAACGGGUGAGUAACACGUGAGUAACCUGCCCUUGACUUUGGGAUAACUUCAGGAAACUGGGGCUAAUACCGGAUAGGAGCUCCUGCUGCAUGGUGGGGGUUGGAAAGUUUCGGCGGUUGGGGAUGGACUCGCGGCUUAUCAGCUUGUUGGUGGGGUAGUGGCUUACCAAGGCUUUGACGGGUAGCCGGCCUGAGAGGGUGACCGGCCACAUUGGUACUGAGAUACGGACCAGUCUCCUACGGGAGGCAGCAGUGGGGAAUAUUGCACAAUGGGCGGAAGCCUGAUGCAGCAACGCCGCGUGCGGGAUGACGGCCUUCGGGUUGUAAACCGCUUUCGCCUGUGACGAAGCGUGAGUGACGGUAAUGGGUAAAUAAGCACCGGCUAACUACGUG
RNAcentral lists this ribosomal RNA (468 nucleotides) under uncultured bacterium. Its description in RNAcentral is "partial 16S ribosomal RNA". It matches the Rfam family "Bacterial small subunit ribosomal RNA", at positions 28 to 507 of the family's 1533-position model. The record is from RNAcentral.